This 561-nucleotide ribosomal RNA is filed under the name uncultured bacterium. RNAcentral describes it as "bacterial SSU rRNA". It matches the Rfam family "Bacterial small subunit ribosomal RNA", at positions 338 to 916 of the family's 1533-position model. The record is from RNAcentral.
CCUACGGGAGGCAGCAGUGGGGAAUCUUGCGCAAUGGGCGAAAGCCUGACGCAGCCAUGCCGCGUGAAUGAUGAAGGUCUUAGGAUUGUAAAAUUCUUUCACCGGGGACGAUAAUGACGGUACCCGGAGAAGAAGCCCCGGCUAACUUCGUGCCAGCAGCCGCGGUAAUACGAAGGGGGCUAGCGUUGCUCGGAAUUACUGGGCGUAAAGGGGAGCGUAGGCGGAUAGUUUAGUCAGAGGUGAAAGCCCAGGGCUCAACCUUGGAAUUGCCUUUGAUACUGGCUAUCUUGAGUAUGGGAGAGGUUAGCGGAACUCCGAGUGUAGAGGUGAAAUUCGUAGAUAUUCGGAAGAACACCAGUGGCGAAGGCGGCUAACUGGCCCAUUACUGACGCUGAGGCUCGAAAGCGUGGGGAGCAAACAGGAUUAGAUACCCUGGUAGUCCACGCCGUAAACGAUGAGUGCUAGUUGUCGGCAUGCAUGCAUGUCGGUGACGCAGCUAACGCAUUAAGCACUCCGCCUGGGGAGUACGGUCGCAAGAUUAAAACUCAAAGGAAUUGACGG